CGCCAGCCUCCUUGUGCGGGUGGUUCAGUCCUCCUCUCCGCUUGCAGACCCAGAGGCUUGUGAGGGUCGUAGGAUUGACUCCUGUUGAACGAGAGCACUGGAGCCCAGGAGGGGGGCUGGCGAUAGCGCAGGCCGGAGACCACCCAGACUGACGUGAGCCCCGGUACAAACCAGGCUUGAGGGGACCCCUUGUCACUCUUGGCCUUUUCCAAUGGAACCAUCCAUCAAGAGAUGACAGCAACUCCAGCAGCACAUGCAGUGCUCUGGGCUGCCUCCACAGGCUGCAGCUUACCAACUCCUGACCUAACUUGAUCAAGAAUGCCAUUUUCUAUGGGAGAAAGAACUUGGGAAAAUUGUGAGUAAUUGUUCUUUCAUCUUCAUUCACUAUUUGACUUAAACACUUGUUAAUGACAUUUUUAAUUGCCAUUUUUAGUAAAGAUGAUGCAUUGCAUUUUAAUCUCCUCCUAAUUGGCCAGCCAAGGGGGAGGGCAGCCUCGAAUCUUCUUUCCUACCGCAUCAGGCAUCAGCUCUUUUGAGUCUGAUUUGCUGCCUAAGUAACUGCGCCGGAAGUUUCUAUGGAGUUACAGUGUGGGUGAGUCAGCCGCUGAGUUCUUUCUGCUCCUAUUCGCACGAUCUCUGAAGAGAACGUGGAUUUUCCUGUUUGUCCCCUGCUAUCUCCACAUCCACCUGGCCUGGCUUCUCUCACCAUCCCCGAGAGCCGGAGCACCCACGCAGUCCCUGAGUGCACUGGGAUGCCUGUCAGUGUCGCUGGAGUAGGACACAGAGCCACCUGCGCCAUCUGGGACGGAGAAUCAUGUACGAGCCACACUGCUCGUGCAGCAUCCGUAUUUAAGUCAAAGCUGGGUGUGUUUGCUCAACGAGAAACACCCUCUCCCUCUCUGGGCCUGUGGUCAGUCAAGAUGUGAACGGAUCCAGGGUCGCUGCAGUAAGCUCAGAGGGAGAGGCUCUGGACGACCUGCCAAUCAGGGCUUGGAGCAGGGAGGAAGCGGGAGGAGCUUUGUGAGAACUCAGCAGUGAGUUCGGGGGCAGAAAACCCACGGUCAGGUCUCCAUGUGAGCACUACUUGGGCAAGCCACUGAAUUUCCUCUGAGCCUCUCCUUCUGUAAAAGGAUUGGUGGAUCGAUUGCCAGAAUGGCCCCAGUCUCCCCAUGUGAACAUCUUUCCAGUGUGACUUUUCAGGCCUGCCAUUGAGAGGUGGAGCUGAGCUCCCCAUGCCAAGCAUUGGGUCCUGUGACCUGCCAUACCUUCCAGCGGCAGCGGCAGUGACAGUGAGCAGGCCCCAGGCUGAGGCCCAGGGGUGCUGCACGUCGCUCGCUCCUGCUCUGUUGUCUUUUUCUGAGAAUCAUAGGCCUGGACUGGCCCGCUGGGAGAGAAAUGUGUAUUGGGGGAGCUGAGGUGUCCCAGCUGACAGCUAGUCGGGCCCCACAAUCAUGCUGCCUGGCGACCCACAGCUUUCCAUACACAUGCAUGUGGGAGCAGAGCCCAAAUGACCAUCACCGCCCUGUUCCCGGCCUUCGUCGCCCAGCGGAGUUGAGGAUCGCUUGUUGUUUGAAGCUGGUAAAUUUGGGAUGUUUGCUCAGCAGCAAUAGCUGCCUGUUACACCUGCUCUAUCUCACAGAACGUUGUGAAGAGCAAAUGAAGCCACGUCCACGAGACUGCUUUGUGAAUCGUAAACAGCACACAAAUGGAAGCUGUCUCAUCAACUUCGUGAGUUUCCAUCAGUGUUGAGACCAAGCAGAAGAUGCAAAUCCAUAGAAACGGCCCCUCCGCUCCCCUCCCUGCUCCCCUCCACACACGGAAGAGCUUGUUUUUCUCUUCUAACUCUCUCGGCCCCUGUUCAUCUGCCCGGGUUCACACGCCCCACUCACGCACUCAGCCAGCACUUACUGACCAUCUGUGAUGUGCCGGGCGCUGUUUUAGGAACAGAAGAUACCGGGGUGGAGCGGGAUAGGGAGGCAAAUAAGUAAUGAAUGAAACAAAGAAAAAGACCAGAAGCGAAAGGCUGUGCAGAGAAGAUAAGUCCAGGGAGAAGUGAUAUAGUCACUGGGUGGAGACUUCAAGCUGGGUCCUUUGGAAAGGAGGUGAUGACAAGAUGAGAGCUAAUGAAGGGAAGAAGCCAAAUGAAAAUCCAUGGGAAGAAUGUGCCAGGAGGAAAGAGUGGCAUCGCAAAGACCUCGAGGCCAGAGAGGCCGAAGGCGGAUGACAGGGCCUGAGGUGGGGGCAGCGGGGCCGGGCUGGGUCAGCGGCUGGACUUCAUUCUCCAGUGUGACGGAGCCGUGGGCACCGGAAGUGAGGGAGGGCUGGCAUAGGAUUUAUGUUAGGGCCCUCGAGUUGCUGUGUGGAGACUUGCCUAUAGCAGGACAAGGGACAAAGCCUGGGGACCGUACGGGAGUCUUUCGAGGCUGUCCACGAGAGGUACGUGGGUGACUUACUUUGAGGCGGAGAAGAACAGGCCAAUUUGGGAUAUGAGGGAGGUAGUUUCAGCAGGAAUCAAGGAUGGCACUUCUUCUCAAGGCGUGUGCAUGGGGCCAUCAGAAUAUGGAGCACUUUUGUAGUUCCUAAGCGUGGACACAAACCCAUAAGGUGGUCACACUGGAAGCUGGGAGCUGCCGAGCUCCUGGGGCCCCGUGGCUGGGUGAGGGACGGGUGGAGCAGCCGGGGGGUUACUCACCACUCCAUCUUACUGCCAGGGGUGGUGCCCAGGCCUGACAGCACUGGACUAUUUAUUUGGAAAUAAAGAGAUUUCGAUGUGUACUAAUGAUCUAUUCCUGUGCAAAAAGUCACCCCACCACUGAAAGCGAUGAUAGUCCUUUUUAUCCCUCCCAGUUUCUGUGGGUCAGGAAUCCGGGAGCAGUGUGGCCGGAUGGGUCUGGCUCGGGGUCUCUCGUGACAUUGCAACCAGACGUUGGCUGGGGCUGCACUCGUCUGAAGGUCGACUGGGGCUGGAGGACCCACUUCUGAAGUGGCUGGAAAGUUGGUGCUGGCAUCGGCUGGGGCCUCAGUUCCUCUCCCCGUGGGCUUCUCCGCAGGGCUGCCUGAGUGUCCUCAAGACAUGGCAGCUGGCCUCCCCCAGGGGGAGCGAUUCAAGAGACCCAGGAGGAGGCUGCACUGCUUUUUAUGACCUAGUCUUGGAGGUCACACCGUGCUCAUGCCACAUUCUACUAGUCAUAAUGGCCAGCCUUGACUCAGUGUGGGAGGGGUGGAUGCCAGGAAGAGAGGAUCUUGGAAAUUGGCUACCAGAGUGUCCUCUGAUUCCCCUAAAAACAAAAGCUAUUGCUGACCGCUGGUGGCUAGUGCACGGGGGAUAUUUUUUUGUGGCAGGGAUUAGUCCCCAUGUCGCCCACAGGGCUGGAUUUGAGUCAGACCACCCAUGUCCAGUGCUGGCUCCUCCCACUUGGCAGAGGCAUGUAAUCCAGGUCUCGGGUUCCUCAUCUGUAAAAUGAGCUCCAUCUCCCGCCUUGUGGUGUGACGUGAGAAUUGGGUCCAGUUCUCGCCCUGCAAGAUCGGAGAAAGCUCGCUGCCCUCGUGUGAACCACCCAGUGAGGCCCGUCAAGGUCCCAAACAGCUGCUGCCAUUCAAGGAGCUUCGCUGACAUCCACGUGGGCGGCAGGUUAGCACGUGGUCCUCACCCGCCCUUGGAUGAGCCCUGGCUGUUGGCUGUCUGGGACUCGGCUUCACAUGCUUGCCGUGAGAGCGCUGAUGGUUCCGGCUCGCAGCCCCAGGUGCUGUGUGUUCCUGCCUCAAGACAGCAGGUCUGACAGGCACCAGGACUGCCCAGCGACGGAAAAGAUGGAGAAACACAACAAGGCCCUCAAUGUGACCAGCUGGCACUUGCAUCAGUGUUGAAAAUUUCAAACAGUGACACAAGUUAGGACUGUGAGGGACAAUAUUUUUGUUUGAGGAGAUGAGCGUUAACAAUGGUCGGCUCUGGUGUAAAUCUGCCGGGUCAGCUCCACUGGACCAUAACGGACAGAAAUCCAGGCCCUUUUUGGGUUUUUCUGUGUACAGUUGUCCUAAACCUGAAAUAUAUGUGAUGCAUUCCACAUAUUGCUACUUUUUCUGCUGCAAUUAUGCCUCUGUGUUAUUAAACACAUACGCCAUAUGUCUUUAUUUGAAAGCUCAGAACCUGGUCAGUGCUCAUAGCAGAGGUAAUGCCCACUGCACUUCUGGAAUUUGGUUCCAGAGCUACAUGAGUACGACUGCACAGUGACUUCCAGCCUGGCCUGUUUCCUCCCGUGUUGGACAUUGUGGGCUUCACACGGACUCCUCCUGUCCUACACACACACACACACACACACGCACACACAGAGCUCAGGCCUCCAGCUGAGCCCUCCCCAGGAACCGCCUCAGCCAGGAGGAGCUCAGAGUCAGCCAUGUCAUCCUGGGGCCACCCCAUCCGAUGGGCUCAGGCGAGCACAGAGGCCCCGCCCCUUUGCCUGCAUAACGGCAGGCCUGAAGGACCCCCAGCGGUGCCCUUCCUUGGGGCUGCCUUCGAGGUUCAAAUUCUCCCUUUGCGGGGUCCCAGUCCUCCUGCCUCGCUCCCCACAGGGACGGAGCCUAAGAGCACUCUCUGAUAUUCCGCCUCUGCACAAACCAGGGGCUGAUUUUUGGAACUCUGUUAUGACACCACUUACCUCCCCCGACCUCCGUAUUGCACUGACCUGGCCCUCUGGCCUGUCACCUCUUCCCCAAAUGCCCGUGUUGGCUCCAGAGUUGGCCCAGGUGGCAAUCAGUGCUGGACCCCAAAUAUUCCCACGGUUCUGUCUUCCAGGGUCACUAGGGCUCCCCUGCCUGGCCCUGUGGCCGGGUGGGGCUGUGUGGAUAGCUGGCUGAUAGGCUGUGGGCAGAGAUGACCUGGGUCAGUUCAAGAAGAUGGUUUAACUGCCACCUGGAGCCCUCCAGAACCGCUCCCCUCCAGCACUGACGUGGGUCCUGGAAUGUGUGCACGAGGCGAGGCCCCUGCCAGUCCUCUGUGGGCAGGGAGAGCGGAUGUUGAACCUCUGGUGGUGUGCACGCUGAGACUGGGGACCGCUGCUCACAGCAGCAUCGUCCUGUGCAUCCCCCUGAUGCAGCUCCCGGGGGCAGGAACCUCCUUCCCUGCGCUUUCUGGCCAUUUCUCUCAACUUCCAAGUUCUGUACAAAACGCAACCAUCUCUGUGAAGCCUCUGCAUUCAGCCUGGAGCCUGUUCUUACUUUGUCCUGUGAAGUUUGUCUCCCCCAUUAGACUGACGGCACCUCCAGGACAGGGAGCACAUCCCAGGCUCCUUCUCUCUGUCACAAGGCCUUGGUUGUUGCAGAGGCCAUGCUGUGAAAGGCACAGGAGGCGUGAGGAGCCGAGUUGCAUGCUGGGUGGUGCUGACAGUGUGUGUGCAGCACGAGAGGAUGCUGAGAGGAGGGCACAGCCAACACAGCUGCUGAGCGUCACACGCUGCCCUGCUUCACUGGCCCCAGGCAGAGGCCAUGGCCUCCCGCCCACCGUGAGCACCUCCCGCCCUGCCAAUGCACCACGGGCCCGGGUUCCAGCCCCUCCGCAGUGCUCUGCGACGUUCUUCUCUGUACCCUAAGAGCUUAAUAGUGAUGUCAGAUGUUCACGCACAGUCAUGUCUGUAGCUUCGUGUAUUGAGCAAACAUCAAGCAUCCUGGGGUCCCAAAUGCUGCUGAUUAGAACAGAGAAUACGCCAGUGAGUACCGUUAAAAUCGGCUCGUUGGAACAUGGGUAAUGACACUGCUGUCUAGGCAGUUCUGCACAUGUGGGGACGCAGGGACUGCACCGUCCACCUGUGCCCACCGAGCCCAUCCACCGCACAAUGGCAGCGGCACGGCCGGCUCGCUGCAGGGCCGGUGCUCAGAGAGCCAGAACCGCGGCCUGGCUGGGUCAGAUCUCCCAGAGCAAGGUCAGCCGCGGGGCACACUGCCACCUCAGCAGCCUCCUGCUGCCGUUGCUGUCAUGUUCUCUGAAACACCUGACUUUCCUCAAAAACAUUUUGAGGAGGAUCCACAAGGCCUCCCCGCUUCACUCUGCUGCUGAAUCAUUUCCUCUGAACUGUUUCAGAUCUUUUAUUUAAUUGCUUGACGUUGCUCAUCUGUCCCAGAACUGCCUCUCGCAUAGACUCGGCUCCCUGACCUGUUAAAGGAGCCCCACGGGCUGCUGCUGAUUGGCCUGCGGUGGGCGAGACUCAAGUCCAGCCCCUGAUCCGCUCGGGGGCGCACAGCAAUGUGUCUCUGAUGCGGCCUCUGGGGUUGUCCAGGAUCAAAGACGUUUCUGGGGCUGAUGAUUCCCCCUGACCCCGUCACCCUCCUUCGCAGAGUCCUGUGCCGGUGGAGAGAGGAGGGUGAUCCUGCAGCCAGAGCAGACGUCCCGACUGUGCUGUCCAUCUGCUGCUCUGCCUCGACGUGUUAUAAACCGAGUUACAUACCCCAGGUUUGAACAAGUUGAGUUUAAACUUGCGCUGAAAAUAGAGAAUGG
This 6487-nucleotide long non-coding RNA is filed under the name Equus caballus (horse). RNAcentral describes it as "lncRNA (ENSECAG00000058880.1)". Lineage: Eukaryota; Metazoa; Chordata; Mammalia; Perissodactyla; Equidae. The record is from RNAcentral.